UACGGAGGGAGCUAGCGUUGUUCGGAAUUACUGGGCGUAAAGCGCGCGUAGGCGGCUUUGUAAGUUAGAGGUGAAAGCCCGGAGCUCAACUCCGGAACUGCCUUUAAAACUGCAUCGCUUGAAUCCAGGAGAGGUGAGUGGAAUUCCGAGUGUAGAGGUGAAAUUCGUAGAUAUUCGGAAGAACACCAGUGGCGAAGGCGGCUCACUGGCCCGGAACUGACGCUGAGGUGCGAAAGCGUGGGGAGCAAACAGG
This 253-nucleotide ribosomal RNA is filed under the name uncultured bacterium. RNAcentral's name for it is "partial 16S ribosomal RNA". It matches the Rfam family "Bacterial small subunit ribosomal RNA", at positions 524 to 776 of the family's 1533-position model. The record is from RNAcentral.